RNAcentral lists this long non-coding RNA (8609 nucleotides) under Linum usitatissimum (flax). Its description in RNAcentral is "long non-coding RNA (LUSI_LNC007390)". Lineage: Eukaryota; Viridiplantae; Streptophyta; Magnoliopsida; Malpighiales; Linaceae. The record is from RNAcentral.
UUACCCGCCAUUAUUGUAAGUGCAGGUAAUUGAGCUGCUCAUAAAGUAUCAAAAAAUCCUCUUUUAUAUCACAUGUCUUAUGUGGAGGCUGAUCUCACAAUUUGGGUUGAUGAUUAGAUUUGUUUCUGUUUGCUAUCCUAAUCAUCUUCGAAUCUAUAAUUUGAGUAAUACGUAAUAUUUAUAUUGGCACAAAUUAAUAAAUCUUCUAUAUUUUAUAUAUUUAAUGUAGUAUUUUAAUAUUUUUCGAAGGUAACAAGUCUUGUUAUACUUAUAGAUAGAAAGAUGAAAUUACAUCGUUGUAGGGAUUACAUGAGUAAGAGAAAAUAACGAGACAUUGUCCGGGUAAUUUAGAGUAGUACGAUCCACAAAAUGGACGGCACAAUUACCUGAAGGGGAAACAUGCAAAAAAGAAACUAGAGGCAAAUUCCUUAGUAGAGGUUGACAUUCCGGUAGAAGCUGUCACACCCGAAUGUCGGAAGUAGAGGAAUUGAUUAAACGAACUGCCUCUGCCGAGUCUGAAUGGAUGAUAAAACCAUCAAAAUAUCUUAUCUGAGCAACGUACAAAAUUUAUCGAAUUGCUAAAAACUACAAAAAUAAAGGAUUUGUAAAGUUCAAAAAAACGUAUAUAUAAUCCGACUAUGUGCAUUAACCCAAGAUCAAAAUAUUAUCGUCAGUAAAUCAUCUAACUAAAUUGAUUGAUGAGUUAAAAUUCUCCCACACCAACUUAAUCCCUCGUCGGGACCCUUUUGAGACGUUGAGGGAGUUGGCGAAAUUAAGGGCACAAACUCCUAAAAUGACGUUGACAAAAACCUAACUAUUUAAAGCAAUAAGAAAUCCCAUUUUGUUUUUAUGGUGUAAAAAUGAAGUCGAAAUCCAUUGAUGGAGCAUUUUGAUUUCCACCUUGAACCUACUUUGAUUAAUAUUAUUUCUCAAUGUUACUACCACAUUCUUGAUCAGGUGAUUUAUAGGUAUACAUCCACUCUUACCAAAUUUUCUUACACCAAUGCAAUGAUGACUCCUUUUUUUAUAAGUCAUGCUACUUAUUGUACAAUUUCUUAUAUUUUAUUUUAACCGGUUGAAAGAUAAUACAUACAUAUUUACAUAUUUGUACGAGUUUACUAUAAUCAAAUAUCAUUGUAAAACGUAUCAGAAAGUUAAUAAGUGAUAAUGUAAAGAAGGAGCGGUAAAGCGUAUGUAUAUGAAGGAGCGGUAAAGCGUAUGUAUAUGAAGGAGCGUGUAUGAGAUAGAAAAAUAUAUGUGAGUACCUAAUAGUAUAUUGGUGUAUCUAAUCUAAAGGUAGUUCGCUUGGUAAAGCGUUUUGGCCUUAGUGAUGAAUAAUGAAUAAUAUCAUCGUUGUAAUGAGGGGAGUUCGGAACAAGUUGUCAUAUAUAUAUAUAUAUUAUUAGUUAAUUGGUGACCCAAUUGAGAUUGAAUUAAAAUCUUUAGUAAUGAAUUCUUGAGAUCGCUUAUUUUAUUUGAACAUCCUAAAAUUACUGGUUAUGUGUCUUCACUGAACCUAGACAAAUUAGUUGAUACCAUGGACGGUUGGACUUGGACCUAGCCUGGACCGGUGGUCCAGCCACCAGGCCAUCCAGAUCAGAAGAAUGAGAACUUGAAUGUGGAAAUGACGAUUAAAUCACUGACCGUUUUCCUUAAUAAAAAAAGUAAGAAGUGGGAGACAAGGAAAUGAUGAUAAAAAAGGGGUCGGAAUAUCAUGGGCCGUACGUGUAUUCACUCGUUUGGUUUCAUGAUCUUUCACUCGUUUUCUUCUACUUUUUUUUUGUUUAUAAUAGUAAUUAAUUAUUAGUUGCCAAUCACUGUCAUCAUUCAUUGACCCAAACCUAAUUAACAUAUCCUCCAAUACUCCGUGCGCUCCGUACUACGUAAACUUGGCUUUGUUUAAUAUUAAAUAUAACAAUGAAAAGCAAUGGUGAUAUAGGCUUGGACAUGGGUUAAAACCGCGUGGAUACCCGCCUGUGAGUUCCCAUUGUGGUUGGGCUUUACCCGAUAAAAUCAGUUCGUCAAAGGGCAUAAGUUUAUCUGAAAUCCGUCAUAAUUUGGGUUUGGGUUGUCUCGGAACAUAAUCUGCCCUGGCACCCGACCGACGGAUUAUCCGUCUUAUGAAAACGACGAUGUUUACAUCCACAUAUAAAACCUAUUCAUAAAUCUCAGAAAACCCUAGCCGCAUUUCCACCCAAUUCACACCUCCACCCUUACCGAUUCUCUCUCGAUUCCUAAACCCUAUUUUGGCGAUUCCGAUUUCCUAUGUCGAUUUUCCCUCAAAUCUCACGGGUUUGGAGGAAAAUCCGCUAGGAAAAUCUCGAGCUCUUUCCCGUUUCAUGAAUCCAUCCAAUCGUAAGGCUCUGGGUUGCUGCAAUCAGCGGUGUUUUCAUCGAUUUUGCCCCAAAUUGAGUCUGUUAGACUUCUUCGACAGAAGCAUGCACCGGAUUCUUCGAUUGCAGUCUACAGAUAAGCACCAAACAUGCAUCGUCCUUUACCUUUUAAAAAACACUUGAGAAUUCGUAAUUAAUUACUAAUUAGGGUUUCGUGUUUGGCAGUGACUCUUAUGCAUCCCCUGUUCUUAAGCUAUAUAUAGGAAUGCUCCAGAGCUUCUCAGAGACCAUGUUCAAUCAUUCAGAGUUACAGAGCACACUACAGAGUAAGGUUUUUUCAAUUUUGUUAUUUGAUGCUGUCGUUGAUAAUAAGUACUAUGCAUCCAUGACCUAACCCUGGUGCGUUCAUUCUUUUUGCAGGCGUUGCCGAUUAGCAACUUCAAAUACUCGUUCCUAGUUUAAGAAACUAGGUGUCUACUCAACAGUUUACUAGAGGUAACUAUUAAUACAGAACUACGUAUACUGCCUCUUUCUUGUUGGUAGUUGCCUGCUUCUUGUUUGCUCAAAAUGAGUUGGUAGUUGCAUGUUUGUUGUUGAAUGUUGAUUGAAUGUUGAUUAUCAUUUUUAAAACAUUGGUUAGACUGUGUAGGUAAUCUACUGCAAAUAUUCUGGUAAAUUGAAAUUCUGCAACCGCUGAAAUUGUUAUAAUCUCUCAAGUCUCAAAUAUCACGUAGGGUUCUAUAGACCAUUUCUUCUGCUAAAUCUUCAAACUAAAAUUAAAUGAUAUAUGGUAUGGGAUGAGAGCAAAGUAAGAUAACAUAGAUCACUAGUAGACGAUGAGUAGAAGAGAUCUAACUUGUACAAUGAUCUCCUCUUAUCAUCAUUUACACGUAAUCUAGCCUAUUUUACCAUCUUUUUUUAUCUUAUAACUUUGAUCUCAAAAUUUCAAAACCCUAAACCUAAUGAACUAUCCUAUUAGCCCCUUUCUUCUUAGCUGCUUAAUCCUCUAAUGAACUAUCCUCUUAACCCCUUUUCUUCUCUAAUUCUUAAUCUUCUAAUGAACUAUUCUCCCAUCCCCUUUAUUCAAUGAUACUUAAUCCUUUAACGAACUAUUCUCUCAACCCCUAUCUUCUUAGAUACUUAAUCCUCUAAUGAACUAUUCUCUCAACCCUUAUCUUCUAAGAAUCAUCUAAUGAACUAUUCUUUCAACCAUUUUCUUGUCAGAUGGAAGGUGCAAUGAAUGUUGAUCUGGAACCUAAUGUUAAUGCUCCCAACCCUAAUGAAUUGGCUGUUCAAAAUGAAAAACCUCAAGAAGCUGCUCCGGUGGGAAAUGAUAAUGUGGUUAAAAAAAUGAAUCUGAACCACGGGUUAGGCUUACUUCUGAUGUGUGGCUACACUUCUCUAGGGUUAGGGUUAAUAGGUUACUGAAGGCUACGUGUAAGUACUAUAAGAAGUUACUAGGUGGGGAAACUGCCAAUGGAAUUUCUCACUUAAGGAAUCAUCUCAGGUUGUGUCUCCAUAAAAAUAUACAUGAUGGUCAACAAAAAAUACUUGGCCCUAAUUAUCAACCUGCUAGUAAACCACAACUGUCUGCAUCCCAAUACAAUGGUAAGGUGUGUAGGAAUGAGCUCUGUUCCAUGAUAUUGCUUCAUGAGUACCCUCUUAGCAUCGCUGAGCAUUUGGGGUUCAAACAGUUCUGUUGUGCCUUGCAGCCUUAAUCCACAGUCCCUUGUAGAAACACUAUGAAGAGAGAGAUAUUGACCUUGUAUGGUGCUGAAAGGGAUAAGUUUCAAAGGAUAUUUGAUGGAAAUACUGGUAUGGUGUCUGUAACUACCGAUUUGUGGAGUGCCUCUAAACAGAAAAGGGGGUAUAUGGCACUGACUAGACAUUUUAUUGAUAAUGAUUGGAAGUUUCAAAGUAUCAUGCUUAGGGUUUUGUAUGAACCAACCCCUCACAUAAGUGAAAGGCUGGCUGACCGUUUGUUUGAUUCGUUGUUAGAUUGAGACGUUAAUGGAAAGUUAUCCUCUAUCACAUUGGACAACUAUUUCACCAAUGAUUCUAUGACGAAUCAGCUGAAAAACAAACUUGUGGUUUCUGAUAUAUUGCUAGAAGGAAGAUUAAUUCAUAUGAGGUGUAUUCCUCAUAUAUUGAAUUUGAUUGCGAUGGACGGUUUGGAUGUAAUCAAAGUUGGAGUCCACUUAAUUAGGGAGAGUGUAUUAUACUGGAAUUCUACACCUAAAAGGGUUCAAAUCUUCUUUGAAACUGUUAAGGAACUCAGAGUUGAUUCUGGCAGGAAACUUGUCCUUGAUUGCCCAACUAGAUGGAAUUCUACUUAUGAAAUGCUAUUUGUUGCUCUUCCUUACAAAGAUGUGUUUUCCCAUUUGAGGCAAAGAGAUAGUCAAUACAACACGGUUCCCUCUAAUGCUCAUCAGGAAUUUGUUGGAAUUGUGAUUGACUAUUUGGGAAUUUUUACUAAAUUGACUAAGUUGUACUGGUUGCAAGUAUCCGACUGCUAAUAUGUUUUUCAAAGGGAUUUGUGAGCUUAGACUCCAGCUGAUUCAAUGGUGUGUCGAUACUAAUUCUCUUAUUUCGAGAAUGGCCGGUAAUAUGUGGCUCAAGUUUACCAAGUAUUAGGAUAAUAUUCAUCAUGUUUUUGCUGUUUCGGUAGUAUUUUGGAUCCUAGGUAUAAGCUCCAUAUCAUUGAGUUCUAGCACUAGUGACACUGAGUUAGUGGCUGAUAAUGUCAGGAACAUUAUUUUGUUCACUGAUUCUUGAAUACCAAACCGGAGAUGAAAAGAAAACUGCAAAUUAUGUUACUGCCUCUAGUAGUUCUGCAACUGUGACAGGAACUGACCUUGAUUUUGAGAGGUCCGUAAGUAUGAAGAAAAAGAGUGAGGCCACUCUGGUUACUUCUAAACUGGACCACUACAUGGCUGAGCCAUUAGUUCCCAAGCCUCAUCCUGAUGAACCACCACUAGAUCUACUUUAGUGGUGGGGGGGGGGGGAUCUGCUUUAGUGGUGGUGGAGGUUUAAUGGUUUGAAAUAUCCAACUUUGCAAGCAAUUACAAGGGACUUUCUUGCAAUUCCUAUAACUUUAGUUGCAUUUGAAAGUGCUUUCAGUUCAGUGGAAGAUUGUUAGACCUCCAUCGGAGCAGGCUUCGCUAUUCAACUGUCAAAGCGAUGAUGUGCACAAGGAGCUGGAUUAUGGAAGACAUGCUACCAAGUAAAGCUCUCAAAUUAUAGUCAAUUGUUCAGUCUUUUAGCAGUGUUCGGGAAGGCGAGUCUAGGCGGCCGCCUAGACAUAAAAAUCGGCAAGACGGAGAGGAAACGCGACGAUUAGUGUAAGGCGGACUGAUUAAGGCGGAUCGUCGCGGAACCGUCGCGGAAUCGUCGAGGCGAGCGCCUCCUCAGCGCUGAGACGAAAAAGGUGGAGUCGAUGCAUUUUAUAAAAUAGAAACAGAAGCAUAAUCGAAACUAACCUAAAUACCCAGAGACAGAGUUGACACCGUUCUCACCCAUCGUCGAGUCGUCUCCUCCUUCCAUCACAUAUGUGUGUUGCGAUCGAGGUCGUCUCCUCCUUCCAUCUCCUCUGUGUGCCAUGAUUGGCACCGUAUCCUCCUUUCAUCUCAUCUAUGUGUAGCGAUACGCCGUCUCCUCCUUCCAUCUCCUCCUUCCAUCUCCUCUGUGUGCAGCAAGCAAUCGACGCCGUCUCCUCCUUCCAUCUCGGACACCGUCUCCUCCUUCCAUCUCCUCUGUGUGCAGCAAGCGGCACCGUAUCCUCCUUUCAUCUCAUCUAUGUGUAGCGAUACGCCGUCUCCUCCUUCCAUCUCCUCCUUCCAUCUCCUCUGUGUGCAGCAAGCAAUCGACGCCAAGCCUACCACCGCCCACCGUCCUCACUCCUCCCUGCCGAUCCAAGAUGACUGCUUCAUCUCCUCUUCUCUCUGUGUAUGAAAUCGGCAAUCGUAGCAUCAUCUCCUAGUCCACUGUUUCUGUAAAUCGCUGCAAUGUUUAGCUGUAAUACUGCAACCCUUUGGGUACAGCAGCUGCAGUAUUAGGGUUUAGGUUUGUUUGGAAAGGUAAAUGGAUGUAUGUUAAAAUCUAGUUGAUGUAAACUGUAAACACAGCAACCCUUAGGGUACAGCAGCAGCUUGGUGAUGUAAAGUUUACAUUGUAAACACAACAACCCUUGUUUAAAAUGUAGUUGUGAAUGGUGUAUCUGUUUUUGUUUCCUGAUUUCUACAUGAGUUGUUGUGAUGGAUUGUAAAUGACAAUUUACAUAAAUUUGUGAAAUUUGGUGAAUGGUGAUGCAGGAUUGUCAUGGCAGAUUCAUCAAAAGUAGACGGUACACAAGUUGAUAGUAGUAGUACUAGUAGCCUGAAAAGAAGGUCGGGUGAUAUCGUGUGGAAAUACGGAUGUUAGAUGCAAGGUCAUAGUUAAUAUUUUUUGUAGAUUCGUACUAAGAGAAGGAAUAGGCUUACAAAAAAUCGCCUCAAUCAACUAGUGUACAUUCAGUUCAACUCCCGAUUGAUGUCCAAGCGAAGGAAGAUAAAGGAUAAGAAGAAUGUUGAUGUUCUCAUGAGCUCUGAUUCAGUUGAAGCUCAAGGGUUCAUAUAUGAGGGAGGAGACAUGCACACAUUACAUGUGGUUUAGGGAUGAAGACGAUAGAGGACACGACGGCAUCCCAUGGAGUGUUAUUGAUGAUGCAAUUGGAGCUAGUGAGAGUCGUGAACCGCGUAGGAGUGCAAGACUAGUGAGAGAGCUUCAUGAUGAAGAGUUUGAUUCCGAAGAAGAAGAAAAUAACGAGGAAAUAGAGCCGAUCGCUUUCGAGGAUGAUGAAGAAUAUUGACGACUUACCAAGCUAUGAGUUUGAUAUCGCCUUUAUGGAUUAUCUUAUGCCUUUAUGGUUUAUCUUAUGUGUGUAUUCUUCUAUGUUAGAACUUGAACAUUAGUUAUCUUGAACUUUAUCAAUUACAAAACUAUAACUCUGUGAACUUUACACUGUUAUGUUUGAACUUGUCUAUUUCACUUAAAUCUAUUACAUUUUUUCAAAACGCCUAAUCGGCCAAGGUGUAAGGCAGGACCUCACCGCCUUACUACCGCCUUACGCCUUCCACAACCUUGUCUUUUAGUAAGUAAUUCUGCCUUCUGCAUCUGAUUACCUUUCUUUUCCAGAUGUUGAACCUGGAGUGGAUGCAAUGGGGAGAGUUUUAUCUGCAUUGACCCUUGAAGAUUCAUCUACUGAGGAUCCAGCAAGUGGGAUUAAGACAUUAAAACUCUUAACAGUCAAAAGUAUUUAGUUAUGAAUCAUUAUGUACAUGAGAUUGAUGUGGAGUUUAAUUGUAUUUCCUAUGCUUUGUUUGCUCAUUUCAGGUGCAGCUACGGUGUUCAUUAAGUCACCAUUUGCACUUGCCGACUGAUUUACUAGAAGUCUGAAACUCGAUUACAAUUAAGGUAUGAAUCAUAUUAAAUAAUCUUGAAUUGAAAGUUAAUAAGUUAUGCCUUUAGUUUACAGUUUCAAACUGAAACUUGUUUUUUACUUAACUGUCUGCAGAUGGAUUACUUGGUUUCAACUGUUCUCAAUGGUUGCUGGUGAUGGAUUAUGGUGGAUGCAGUCGUUGGAUUUCUAUUUAUGUUUUUCAUUAUGCUAAGUUUCAGUUCAUGAAUUCUUCCUUAAUUUGACAGUUUCAUUUGGUCAUUUGUUUAAAACUUCAAAAUCAGGUUUUCUAUUUCCAUUAUGAAUGUUGCUGCAUAGGCUUGCAGAUGCAUGCAGUUUGGAUUUGGAUUUGCAUUUAUCCAUUUUCAAUUUUAGUCAUAUUUGUGUUUUUAUCUUCUUGUAUACGGUUAUUUUGUCACCGGUGGGUAUCCGGUAUCCGGCCGGUGACGGGGGGGUAUGAGCUUUGGAUCCAUGGUCGGGGACGGGGACGGGAAAACCGUCGACUUCGACAGGUGGGGAUCGGAUAUAUUACAUCCGUCCUCGAUCCGCCCCAUGUCCAAGCCUAUGUGAAAUUGGGAUAGCUUAAUUGAAACUAUUUGUAGGGUUUUUUAAUUCGAAAGCAAUGGAAUUUUAUGUAUAAUUCUCAAAAUUGAAAGUUAUUAUCAAAAAUUUUAUAUAUGAAUUAGACUUUUAAACAUAAAAUUAUGUUCAGGGAUUUCGAAACAUUUUGUCGGACAGUAUAGGACACUCCGGUGGAAAUAUGCAUCAGGUGCAAACGCUAUGUGGUGGUAUACCAUUGAGUGGUUUUUAUUUUUUAUCAAAUAAAAAUAAAUUGUGUUAGC